CAUCCAGGUCACAAAUUCGUGCUCUGUCGUGCUGACACGUGUCGCCUUUCCUCUCAAUGCAGCGUUUCAUUAAUGUAUGGUAUCAUGGGCUUUCCGUUUAUUGUAUGUUACUGGUCUUGGAAUCGUGCAAACAUCCGGCCUGGAAAGUGAAAACAGAAACUCUCUCCCCCUAACCCUAAUACAGCUUAAACUAACCCACGAAGAUCGUCUCUCAUCUUCAUGCGGCCGCGGUGACGUUUGCGCUUACUGUAACAGACUUCUUUAUGGAUUCCUCUUUAAUCCUGUUGAUUUAUUCUCCCAUGAUGUGUCUUCGAUGCGUUGAUUAGGUCUGAAAGGCGGUGUGUGUUCAGCAUAAAUAUGUGAGCAAUCCUCAUCUUGGACUCAUCUUUUCUUUCAAUUCUCUGAAAGUAUCUCAAGUUAAGCGAGGCGGCGAGGGUCGACACACUCCUCAUGUACGCCAAGGGUUGACAUCGCCAUUAACGAUCGUCUAACUCUUCGACCCACUCCAACCACGAUUCACAAUUCAAUGCGUUGUUCCUUUCUACAAGGCGGUAGAUCUCCAGCUAUAAGAAGAUAUGUGUUGUUGAUGAGACCGACUGACGAAGCUGUUUUGAUUACCAGUAUCCAGUUUCAAAGGUCUCGGUUACACUAGAACAAGAAGUUCUCACAACGCUUACACAAAUACAUCGAUUUGUGAGAAUAAUCUUACGUCCCAAGUUUUUUAAAACUAUAAACUGAUUCUUCCAAUCGCGUUCCCACGAGAACAAGCCAAGAAUGACUCUGUUAGUUAAAUACUUGGCAAGU
Brassica napus (rape) is the source of this 804-nucleotide long non-coding RNA. RefSeq lists it as uncharacterized. The transcript is spliced from 3 exons. NCBI's taxonomy places the organism in Eukaryota, Viridiplantae, Streptophyta, Magnoliopsida, Brassicales, Brassicaceae. The record is from RefSeq and is a predicted model, not a curated record.